RNAcentral lists this transfer-messenger RNA (350 nucleotides) under Allosediminivita pacifica. Its description in RNAcentral is "Alphaproteobacteria transfer-messenger RNA". It matches the Rfam family "Alphaproteobacteria transfer-messenger RNA". From Rfam's summary of the family: Bacterial tmRNA, also known as 10Sa RNA or SsrA, is named for its dual tRNA and mRNA-like properties. The record is from Rfam by way of RNAcentral. Lineage: Bacteria; Pseudomonadati; Pseudomonadota; Alphaproteobacteria; Rhodobacterales; Paracoccaceae.
CCCCUUUGCAAGCCGCGCCACCCCGCCUAUAUUCCGAGUGUCUCGCAAGGGACUAUGGGCAUAAACGCGCACAUAAUAAGCGGAUCGGACCCGGGGGCGGUACCCGGCGGCUCCACCAAAUACCCGGCGUUGGCGGGAACAUGGGGCCGAAAUAGGAUCGACGAACGUGUAAAGGUGUAGCUUUGUCCCGGUGAGAUACCACCGUUAUCGGUUCAUUAAGCAUAGUUGCCAACGACAAUCAUGCUCCGGUUGCAGUUGCUGCGUAAGCAGUGACAAGACCGAAAUCUAAGCCCUUGCGCCUAGCAGCGUAAGGCGGGGUUCGCAGGCACCUGGCAACAGAAGCCUGCACU